AUAGCUUGACACUGAACAUUGAGCCUUGAUGUGUAGGAUAGGUGGGAGGCUUUGAAGCGUGGACGCCAGUCUGCGUGGAGCCGACCUUGAAAUACCACCCUUUAAUGUUUGAUGUUCUAACGUGGACCCGUGAUCCGGGUUGCGGACAGUGUCUGGUGGGUAGUUUGACUGGGGCGGUCUCCUCCUAAAGAGUAACGGAGGAGCACGAAGGUUGGCUAAUCCUGGUCGGACAUCAGGAGGUUAGUGCAAUGGCAUAAGCCAGCUUGACUGCGAGCGUGACGGCGCGAGCAGGUGCGAAAGCAGGUCAUAGUGAUCCGGUGGUUCUGAAUGGAAGGGCCAUCGCUCAACGGAUAAAAGGUACUCCGGGGAUAACAGGCUGAUACCGCCCAAGAGUUCAUAUCGACGGCGGUGUUUGGCACCUCGAUGUCGGCUCAUCACAUCCUGGGGCUGAAGUAGGUCCCAAGGGUAUGGCUGUUCGCCAUUUAAAGUGGUACGCGAGCUGGGUUUAGAACGUCGUGAGACAGUUCGGUCCCUAUCUGCCGUGGGCGCUGGAGAACUGAGGGGGGCUGCUCCUAGUACGAGAGGACCGGAGUGGACGCAUCACUGGUGUUCGGGUUGUCAUGCCAAUGGCACUGCCCGGUAGCUAAAUGCGGAAGAGAUAAGUGCUGAAAGCAUCUAAGCACGAAACUUGCCCCGA
This 697-nucleotide ribosomal RNA is filed under the name Salmonella enterica subsp. enterica serovar Anatum. RNAcentral describes it as "partial 23S ribosomal RNA". It matches the Rfam family "Bacterial large subunit ribosomal RNA", at positions 2106 to 2802 of the family's 2925-position model. The record is from RNAcentral. Lineage: Bacteria; Pseudomonadati; Pseudomonadota; Gammaproteobacteria; Enterobacterales; Enterobacteriaceae.